Molecule: long non-coding RNA, 3385 nt
Filed under: Pongo abelii (Sumatran orangutan)
Lineage: Eukaryota; Metazoa; Chordata; Mammalia; Primates; Hominidae
Description: lincRNA
Rfam family: Metazoan signal recognition particle RNA (bases 2022-2169)
Source: RNAcentral
UGGUACUGAAGAGUAGGGCAUUGCUAUAAAGAUAUGUGAAAAUGUGAAAUCAGCUUUGGAACUGGGUAACAGGCAGAGGUUUGAACAAUUUGGUGGGCUCAGAAGAAGACAGGAAGAUGAGGGAAAAUUUGGAACUUCCCAGAGACUUGUUAAACUGUUAUGACCAAAAUGCUGUUAAUGAUAUGGACAGUGAGAUCCAGGGUAAUGAAUCUCAGAUGAAAGUGAGGAAGUUAUUGGGAACUGGAGCAAAGGUUACUUUUGUUAUGUGUUAGCAAAGAACCUGGUGGCAUUGUACCCCUGCCCUAGGGAUCUAUGGAACUUUGAACUUGAGAGUGAUGAUUUGGGGUAUCUGGCAGAAGAAAUUUCUAAGCAGCAAUGUGUUGAAGUUGUGGCCUGCCUGCUUCUAACAAUCUAUGCUAAUAAUGUGUGAGCAAAGAAAGGACAUAAAAUUAGAACUUAUGUUUAAAGGGGAAGCAAAACAUAAAUGUUUGAAAAAUUUGCAACCCAGUCAUGUGGUAGAAAAGAAAAGCCCAUUUUCAGGGGAGCAAUUCAGACUGGCUGCAGAAAUUUGUAUAACUAAAAGGAAGGCACAUGGUGAUAGCCAUGACAAUGGGGGAAAUGCCUCAAAGGCAUUUCAGAGAUCUUUGUGGCAGCCCCUCCCAUCACAGGCCUGGAGGCCUGGGAGGACAGAAUGGUUUUGUGGGCCUCACUCAGAGCCCCACUACCCUGUGCAGGCUUGGGACACUGCUCCCUGCAUCCCAGCCAUUCUAGCUCCAGCCGUGGCUCAAAGGGGCCCAGGUACAGCUUGGGUCACUGCUUCAGAAGGUGUAAACCAUAAGCCUUGGUGGUUUCCACAUGCUGUUAAGCCUGUGGGUAUGCAGAGUGCAAGAGUUGAGGCUUGGGAGCCUCCACCUGGAUCUCAGAGGAUGUAUGGAAAAGCCUGGAUGUCCAGACAGUAGCCUGCUGAAGGGGCAGAGCCCUCAUGGAGAACCCCUACUAGGGCAUUGCAGAGGGGAAACGUGGGACUGUAGCUCCCACACAGAGUCUCCACUGGAGCGUUGCCUAGUGGAGCUGUGAGAAGAGGGCCACCUUCCUCCAGACUCUGGAAUGGUAGAUACACUAACAGCUUGCACCUGUUGCCUGGAAGAGCCACAAGCACUCAACAUCAGCCUUUGAGAGCAGCUCUGGGAGCUGAACCCUGCAAAGCUAUAGGGGUGGAACUGCCCAAGAUCUUGGGAGCCCACCCCUUGAAUCCGUGUGCCCUGGAUGUGAGAUAUGGAGUCAAAGGAGAUUGUUUUAGAUCUUUAAGAUUUCAGGACUGCCCUACUGAGUUUCAGACUUGCAUGGGGCCUCUAGCCCAUUUGCUUUGGCCAAUUUCUCCCUUUUGGAAUGGGAGUAUUUACCCAAUGCCUAUACCUCCAUUGUAUCUUGGAAGUAACUAACUUGUUUUUAUUUUAUAGGCGCAUAGAUGGAAGGGGCUAGCUUUGUCUCAGAUGAGACUUUGGACUUUAGACUUUCGAGUUGGAAUGUAGUUGGAGUUUAGACUUUCAUUGGAAUGAGUUAAGACUUUGGGGGACUGUUGGCAAGGCAUGAUUGGAUUUUGCAAUGUGAGAAGGACAUGAGAUUUUGGAGGGGCCAAGGGUGGAAUGAUAGGAUUCGGAUCUGUGUCCCCACCCAAAUCUUAUGUCAAAAUGUAGCCCUAAUGCGGGAGGUGGGGCAUGGGAGGUGAUUGGAUCAUGGAGGCGGUUUUUCAUAAAUGAUUUAGCACUGUCCCCAUGCAGUGGUUCUCAUGAUAGUGAGUGAGUUCUCAUGAGAUCUGGUUGUUUUAAAGUGUGUAGCACCUCCCCCCUUUCUCUCUUCCUCAUGCUCCAGCCAUGAGAAGAUGCCUGCUCUGACUUUGCCUUCCACCAUGAAUAAAAGCUUCCUGAGGCCUCCUCAGAAGCAGAUGCUGCCAUGUUGCCUGUACAGCCUGUGGAUCUGUGAGCCAAUUAAACUUUUCUUUAUAAAUUACCCAGUCUCUAGCCAGGCGUGGUGGUGUGUGCCUGUAGUCCCAGCUACUUGGGAGGCUGAGGCAGGAGGAUUUCUUGAGCCCAGGGGUUCGAGGCUGCAGUGAGUUACAAUUGCACCACUGUACUUCAGCCAGGGCAACAGAGCAAGACCUUGUCUCAAAAAUAAAUAAAUAAAUAAAUAAAUAAUAAAUUACCCAGUCACAGGUAUUUCUUUGUAGCAGUGAGAGAAUGGACUAAUACACCCUCCAUACCAUACCCUGCUACUUUACCUCCCUUUCCAACUACUGUAGAAGAUACUCAUUGUUAUCAUUUACUAUCUCAUAUGUGCAAAAACUGAAGUUUAAAGAGGUUAAGUAAUUGGCUCAAGGUAUCACAGCUGGUAAACAGAGACGCUGAGAUUUGUUCUCUUUUGGUUUUACCCUAGAACCCUCUCCUAACAUUUUUUUUUAUUUUGACUCUUGUUUGGCAGAAUAAAUAGCAAGGACAGCAUCAUCUUUGCUGAGGAAAGAUGACUAUUAUUAGUUGUAGGCAAGUGGAGAGUCGUCAGUGUUCCAUCAGCUUUUCCCCUGUGUCUCUCAUCCCACGAAUGAAGAGCAGAUGUGAAAAUUGCUGCCAGCCACUCACUUGUCAGAUGAGAACUGACUUGGCUGUGCUCAUUACAGAAUUAAUUUUUAGGUUGUGAUGGUUUUAAUAAGGCAUGUGAAAUAUAGAUGUCCUCAAGAUUUAUAAACUUUAAUUUAGAAGUGUCUUUGAUUCUAAUACAAAUCUAUUUUUACUUACAGUAAGAUAGCAAAGAAAAAAGUCUCUGGAAAGGUUCUGGAUAUGUCUAAGGAAAAUUUGAUUAGAUGGUCCAGUGUUUCAGUAACACACACAAGAAGCUUCUGAAUAACUUGUAAAAGUGAGAUGAUGUGCCCCACUUUGAUUUAAAUUCCAUUACAUGUAUCCUCAGGAAUUAGCAAAAAAAUUUUUUUCAUAAUAAAACUCAUUAGAUGAUUUUCACUCAUAAAGAAUAACUUGUUUGAGAAUAAAAUUUGUCUGGACACAAGUAUUGGUUCUGUAAAAUGAAAGGAAAUAUCCAAAAUUCUGUGCAAUUCUCCAUUAAAUAUAAUCCUAAGGCUACUUCAGAGAUAUUUUUGUUAUUCAGGAUAUGGAAUGAGCAUGAACAUUUGCAUUUUACUGGUCACAAGAACCAUUAAGGAGAGAAACUCCCGAAAUAUAGUAAGACAUGACUGGUUUCAACUCUAUGUUGGCUCUGUAUGUUUGGAAUUCCUUGUAAUUCCAUAUGUAUUUGGAUGAUGUUUACUUUUGCUGUAUCUUUGAUGAAAUGAUAUGUUAAACUAACUUCCUGCAGUAAAUAAAGGAGGAAAUUGUAAAGC